GGGUUGUGAGGUUAAGCGACUAAGCGUACACGGUGGAUGCCCUGGCAGUCAGAGGCGAUGAAGGACGUGCUAAUCUGCGAUAAGCGUCGGUAAGGUGAUAUGAACCGUUAUAACCGGCGAUUUCCGAAUGGGGAAACCCAGUGUGUUUCGACACACUAUCAUUAACUGAAUCCAUAGGUUAAUGAGGCGAACCGGGGGAACUGAAACAUCUAAGUACCCCGAGGAAAAGAAAUCAACCGAGAUUCCCCCAGUAGCGGCGAGCGAACGGGGAGGAGCCCAGAGCCUGAAUCAGUGUGUGUGUUAGUGGAAGCGUCUGGAAAGGCGCGCGAUACAGGGUGACAGCCCCGUACACAAAAAUGCACAUGCUGUGAGCUCGAUGAGUAGGGCGGGACACGUGGUAUCCUGUCUGAAUAUGGGGGGACCAUCCUCCAAGGCUAAAUACUCCUGACUGACCGAUAGUGAACCAGUACCGUGAGGGAAAGGCGAAAAGAACCCCGGCGAGGGGAGUGAAAAAGAACCUGAAACCGUGUACGUACAAGCAGUGGGAGCCUCUUUAUGGGGUGACUGCGUACCUUUUGUAUAAUGGGUCAGCGACUUAUAUUCUGUAGCAAGGUUAACCGAAUAGGGGAGCCGAAGGGAAACCGAGUCUUAACUGGGCGUUAAGUUGCAGGGUAUAGACCCGAAACCCGGUGAUCUAGCCAUGGGCAGGUUGAAGGUUGGGUAACACUAACUGGAGGACCGAACCGACUAAUGUUGAAAAAUUAGCGGAUGACUUGUGGCUGGGGGUGAAAGGCCAAUCAAACCGGGAGAUAGCUGGUUCUCCCCGAAAGCUAUUUAGGUAGCGCCUCGUGAAUUCAUCUCCGGGGGUAGAGCACUGUUUCGGCAAGGGGGUCAUCCCGACUUACCAACCCGAUGCAAACUGCGAAUACCGGAGAAUGUUAUCACGGGAGACACACGGCGGGUGCUAACGUCCGUCGUGAAGAGGGAAACAACCCAGACCGCCAGCUAAGGUCCCAAAGUCAUGGUUAAGUGGGAAACGAUGUGGGAAGGCCCAGACAGCCAGGAUGUUGGCUUAGAAGCAGCCAUCAUUUAAAGAAAGCGUAAUAGCUCACUGGUCGAGUCGGCCUGCGCGGAAGAUGUAACGGGGCUAAACCAUGCACCGAAGCUGCGGCAGCGACACUAUGUGUUGUUGGGUAGGGGAGCGUUCUGUAAGCCUGCGAAGGUGUACUGUGAGGUAUGCUGGAGGUAUCAGAAGUGCGAAUGCUGACAUAAGUAACGAUAAAGCGGGUGAAAAGCCCGCUCGCCGGAAGACCAAGGGUUCCUGUCCAACGUUAAUCGGGGCAGGGUGAGUCGACCCCUAAGGCGAGGCCGAAAGGCGUAGUCGAUGGGAAACAGGUUAAUAUUCCUGUACUUGGUGUUACUGCGAAGGGGGGACGGAGAAGGCUAUGUUGGCCGGGCGACGGUUGUCCCGGUUUAAGCGUGUAGGCUGGUUUUCCAGGCAAAUCCGGAAAAUCAAGGCUGAGGCGUGAUGACGAGGCACUACGGUGCUGAAGCAACAAAUGCCCUGCUUCCAGGAAAAGCCUCUAAGCAUCAGGUAACAUCAAAUCGUACCCCAAACCGACACAGGUGGUCAGGUAGAGAAUACCAAGGCGCUUGAGAGAACUCGGGUGAAGGAACUAGGCAAAAUGGUGCCGUAACUUCGGGAGAAGGCACGCUGAUAUGUAGGUGAAGUCCCUCGCGGAUGGAGCUGAAAUCAGUCGAAGAUACCAGCUGGCUGCAACUGUUUAUUAAAAACACAGCACUGUGCAAACACGAAAGUGGACGUAUACGGUGUGACGCCUGCCCGGUGCCGGAAGGUUAAUUGAUGGGGUUAGCGCAAGCGAAGCUCUUGAUCGAAGCCCCGGUAAACGGCGGCCGUAACUAUAACGGUCCUAAGGUAGCGAAAUUCCUUGUCGGGUAAGUUCCGACCUGCACGAAUGGCGUAAUGAUGGCCAGGCUGUCUCCACCCGAGACUCAGUGAAAUUGAACUCGCUGUGAAGAUGCAGUGUACCCGCGGCAAGACGGAAAGACCCCGUGAACCUUUACUAUAGCUUGACACUGAACAUUGAGCCUUGAUGUGUAGGAUAGGUGGGAGGCUUUGAAGUGUGGACGCCAGUCUGCAUGGAGCCGACCUUGAAAUACCACCCUUUAAUGUUUGAUGUUCUAACGUUGGCCCGUAAUCCGGGUUGCGGACAGUGUCUGGUGGGUAGUUUGACUGGGGCGGUCUCCUCCUAAAGAGUAACGGAGGAGCACGAAGGUUGGCUAAUCCUGGUCGGACAUCAGGAGGUUAGUGCAAUGGCAUAAGCCAGCUUGACUGCGAGCGUGACGGCGCGAGCAGGUGCGAAAGCAGGUCAUAGUGAUCCGGUGGUUCUGAAUGGAAGGGCCAUCGCUCAACGGAUAAAAGGUACUCCGGGGAUAACAGGCUGAUACCGCCCAAGAGUUCAUAUCGACGGCGGUGUUUGGCACCUCGAUGUCGGCUCAUCACAUCCUGGGGCUGAAGUAGGUCCCAAGGGUAUGGCUGUUCGCCAUUUAAAGUGGUACGCGAGCUGGGUUUAGAACGUCGUGAGACAGUUCGGUCCCUAUCUGCCGUGGGCGCUGGAGAACUGAGGGGGGCUGCUCCUAGUACGAGAGGACCGGAGUGGACGCAUCACUGGUGUUCGGGUUGUCAUGCCAAUGGCACUGCCCGGUAGCUAAAUGCGGAAGAGAUAAGUGCUGAAAGCAUCUAAGCACGAAACUUGCCCCGAGAUGAGUUCUCCCUGACUCCUUGAGAGUCCUGAAGGAACGUUGAAGACGACGACGUUGAUAGGCCGGGUGUGUAAGCGCAGCGAUGCGUUGAGCUAACCGGUACUAAUGAACCGUGAGGCUUAACCUUACAACGCCGAAGCUGUU
RNAcentral lists this ribosomal RNA (2928 nucleotides) under Escherichia coli. Its description in RNAcentral is "bacterial LSU rRNA". It matches the Rfam family "Bacterial large subunit ribosomal RNA". Lineage: Bacteria; Pseudomonadati; Pseudomonadota; Gammaproteobacteria; Enterobacterales; Enterobacteriaceae. The record is from RNAcentral.